GAUGAACGCUGACAGAAUGCUUAACACAUGCAAGUCGAUGGGGAAGUGGUGCUUGCACCAUGGCAACCAUGGCGGACGGGUGAGUAACGCGUAAGGGACUUACCUGCAGGACUGGGAUAACAGGGGGAAACUCCUGACAAGACCGGAUAAUGUCAUGGAGCUGCAUGGCUUUAUGAUGAAAGGAGACGCCUGCGGAGAGCCUUGCGUCCUAUUAGCUAGUUGGUGAGGUAAUGGCCCACCAAGGCGAAGAUAGGUAGCCGGCCUGAGAGGGUGGACGGCCACAAGGGGACUGAGAUACGGCCCUUACUCCUACGGGAGGCAGCAGUGGGGAAUAUUGGACAAUGGGGGCAACACUGAUCCAGCAAUUCUGUGUGCACGAAGAAGGUUUUCGGAUUGUAAAGUGCUUUCAGCAGGGAAGAAGUAAGUGACGGUACCUGCAGAAGAAGCGACGGCUAAAUACGUG
Molecule: ribosomal RNA, 463 nt
Filed under: uncultured bacterium
Lineage: Bacteria
Description: partial 16S ribosomal RNA
Rfam family: Bacterial small subunit ribosomal RNA
Source: RNAcentral